UUUACCCGCUGAAUUUAAGCAUAUUAAUAAGCGGAGGAAAAGAAACUAACAAGGAUUCCCCUAGUAACGGCGAGUGAAGCGGGAAGAGCUCAAGCUUAAAAUCUCCGUGCAAGUUUUGCGCGGCGAAUUGUAGUCUAUAGAGGCGUGAUCAGUGUGGGCGCUUGGGGCAAGUUCCUUGGAAGAGGAUACCCGCUGGAAUUAAGCAUAUCAAUAAGCGGAGGAAAAGAAACUAACCAGGAUGCCCUUAGUAACGGCGAGCGAACCGGGCGAAGCCCAACUUGAAAAUCUCCAGCCUCCGGCUGGCGAAUUGUAGUCUAGAGAAGCGCUCUCUGCCCCAGCCUGGCCCCAAGUCCCCUGGAAAGGGGCGUCAUAGAGGGUGAGAACCCCGUUGGGACCGGCGCCUGGGUCUCCACGAGACGCUUUCGAAGAGUCGGGUUGUUUGGGAAUGCAGCCCAAAGCAGGUGGUAAAUCCCAUCUAAGGCUAAAUACGGACGGGAGACCGAUAGCGAACAAGUACCGCGAGGGAAAGAUGAAAAGAACUUUGAAAAGAGAGUUAAAAAGUACUUGAAAUUGUUGAGAGGGAAGCGAUUGGAUCCCACGGGUGCGCCUAGGCACACGCCCGCCUCACGGUUGGUUGAAUGGGCUAGGCGCUGGUCAGCAUGGGUUGUCCGGGCGGGACAAAACCGGGGGUUGUUACUCCGGUUAUGCCGCCCGGGCGACCGAGGUACGAAGGGCGCUCUUUGAGUCCUUCUGGGAAACUGCG
Molecule: ribosomal RNA, 763 nt
Filed under: Chlorella vulgaris
Lineage: Eukaryota; Viridiplantae; Chlorophyta; Trebouxiophyceae; Chlorellales; Chlorellaceae
Description: partial large subunit ribosomal RNA
Rfam family: Eukaryotic large subunit ribosomal RNA (bases 166-763)
Source: RNAcentral